AUUGAACGCUGGCGGCAUGCUUUACACAUGCAAGUCGAACGGCAGCGCGGGCUUCGGCCUGGCGGCGAGUGGCGAACGGGUGAGUAAUACAUCGGAACGUGCCCAGUAGUGGGGGAUAGCUCGGCGAAAGCCGGAUUAAUACCGCAUACGACCUGAGGGUGAAAGCGGGGGAUCUUCGGACCUCGCGCUAUUUGAGCGGCCGAUGGCAGAUUAGCUAGUUGGUGGGGUAAAGGCCUACCAAGGCGACGAUCUGUAGCUGGUCUGAGAGGACGACCAGCCACACUGGGACGGAGACACGGCCCAGACUCCUACGGGAGGCAGCAGUGGGGAAUUUUGGACAAUGGGCGAAAGCCUGAUCCAGCAAUGCCGCGUGUGUGAUGAAGGCCUUCGGGUUGUAAAGCACUUUUGGCGGGAACGAAAAGGACUGUGCCAAUACCACGGUUCGAUGACGGUACCCGCAGAAUAAGCACCGGCUAACUACGUG
Molecule: ribosomal RNA, 484 nt
Filed under: uncultured bacterium
Lineage: Bacteria
Description: partial 16S ribosomal RNA
Rfam family: Bacterial small subunit ribosomal RNA
Source: RNAcentral